RNAcentral lists this long non-coding RNA (498 nucleotides) under Mytilus galloprovincialis (Mediterranean mussel). The record is from RNAcentral. Lineage: Eukaryota; Metazoa; Mollusca; Bivalvia; Mytilida; Mytilidae.
CGUUUUAUGAUUUUAGUAUUGAUGUCAAGACAGUUUUUAUCAUUAUUGUGCUAGGCAAUGGGUUCUGGUUUGUCCACCUUUUUGCCCACCCGCCAAAAUUUGAAUCAGAUUUUUCGGUUCAAUGAACACGGGCAUAUCAUAGUACUAGCGACCUUGAUUAAAAUAUCAACCCAAGGGUCCAAACUUACAGUGGUUUCAAAUCAAAUUGAAAUUGGCUUCGUAUUGAAUCCCAGAAUUCACUUCUGUGGCAGUUAGAGCUAUUUCCGUUCCCCCAAAAUAGAACAUAGCAGUUAUUGGUCUUCCGCCUUCACAUGGAUCAGAAAGAGGGAUGGUUAAUGUACCGAGAUGAGAACAACUAUUUUCAUCGGUAUAUUGCGGAUCCUCGUCUGUUGAUAUAUGUCGGCAUAAAGCUCUACAGAGAUUAUGUUUGUAAUGUUCAUGUGACCCCGACUUAAAAUAAAAUUUUCUAUUCUAUUCUAUUCUUAAGUUAAAGUUAUU